GGCGGGGCUGCUCGCAGCCAGGGGCGGAGCUGAGCCCGCCAGCCUGAGGAGCCGGUGGCACCUGAGGGAGCGCAGAUGGCGGUUUCCACACGUGGCGCAGUUUUAACGAACAUGUGAGGCGAGCAAAGGCAGCGCCUGUGGAAAAACUACUUCACACACGCGGCACCCUACUCCAUCCCCCAGGGCGACGGCUUGGGGUUUUCUGUCGCCGCCUGUCGCUCAGUCCAUGUCUCCCUCCUCCCCCCGGCCCCCAGGCCGGGGCUCUCGGGACAGGCGUCCGUGCGUGCGAAGCCCACCGGCACGCGGCCACAGCACGGUGUGCGCCUGCGCCUGGCGUCGCGCCGGGGCGGGGCAGCCCAGGCGAGGGCGUGUCUCCCGCGCGGCGCAGGGGGCGGAGCCUCGGCGCCCCGCCCCGCCCCUCCGGGGACUGACCUGCCGGGGCGCCGGGCCGGUGACGUCAGCCCGCCGUGACGCGCGCUGUGGGAUAACUAAUUCAUCAAAAAGAUUCAUCCUGUGCCUUAUGACUCUGCAGGAACCUUGGGAAAGAGAUGAGGAGGAAUGGAAGGCACGGCUCAUCCAACACUGCAGUUUUGAAGCUGGAAGACAUCUGCUAAGUCAGGCUGCUUCAGGUACGUUUGUCUUCCAGAGAUUCUGAUGGAAAUAACCCACAAUCCUCAUGCAAGACUAGCAAAAUAUUUUAGAGUUAAACGUGCGUGAGUGGCGACAAGCAAAUCCUCAGUUGAUGAAACACAAGAAGCCUUUGACAGCAGAAAGCAAGUAAAAGCCGUCGUUCUCUGCAGAGUCCACGUAUGCUUACAAUCUCACAUGUGGUUUCUGCUUAUAAUCGCACGGAACUUUCUAGUUGAGAGCCAGGGAAGUUCCUGUUGAAGUGCAGUACGACAGAAUGCAGAAUCCUCCAUUGGUGCCACCCAAGGAGCAAGUUAACCCGUGUCCAGCCAUGGCCUGAAAAUACUACAUCCAGGAGUCAGCAGUUGAUUAGUCUUGAAGUGCACGCUGUUGUGAGCAGUGUGAUACAAUCCUGUGCCGUCGGCCUCCAUCCCACCCGGGACGUGAAUCAUCCCUCUGUCCUGCGGGUCCGUGCUGUGCGCGUCCCUACGUGGCCGUCUCAGCUGUCAGUGUGGCCUGUAGAUGGGGCUGUGUGUGUGUACUGCUGUACAUAUGUAUUCACGCAUGCACAUGUGUGCACCUGCUCAUGUGUAGAGAGAAUAUUUGCUUCUACAUCUCUGUGACCUGUUUCUUCCCAUUUGAAAAGAAGCAUUAAAAAUAUCCCCUUCAUAUAAUGUCUAAAACUUUCUAAAAUCAUGAUUCUCUUAAUAGAAGCCGCUGGAGCUUUCAGGAAGAGCCAGAGUCCUAUGUUAAUAAAGAAUAAUUAUCCUCACUGUAAAGGCCUUAAAUAUUGGGGGGGGGGGGGCAUCCAUCUUUCUCCUGCCCCUGCUUAGUCUGUUCACACAAGGCAAGACUUGACAGGUGUGUGUGUGUAAAAAAUGAUAUUGUUAAUGAUGCAAAACAGGGCUGCAUUAGCAGAGGACACAGCUUUUUCGUGAAGGAGGCUCUUUGCUCUAACAAACCAGUCAGCCAAGCCAAUCCUCUUCGAUCUCUCUGCAAUAAGAAAAAAACAGUGGCAUCCUGACUCUUGAGAGCCCAGAAUCCGGGUUUGACCUCGACUGCUUCACCUGCAAAUCUAUAAAAUGAAGCUACACCCCACCUGAUAGGAGUGGUGCCGACUGGAGGAGAUCAUCUGUGCAGAUCACUGUGUGUGUGUGGAUGGCACAGCAGGCCCGUGGAAGGCAGCAGCAGCCGCGUCUCUCUUGAUGACUUUUUUUUUUUUUUUUGACAGGCAGAGUGGACAGUGAGAGAGAGAGACAGAGAGAAAGGUCUCCCUUUGCCGUUGGUUCACCCUCCAUUGACUGCCACAGCCGGCGCGCUGCGGCCGGCACACCGCUCUGAUCCGAAGGCAGGAGCCAGGUGCUUUUCCUGGUCUCCCAUGGGGUGCAGGGCCCAAGCACUUGGGCCAUCCUCCACUGCACUCCCUGGCCACAGCAGAGAGCUGGCCUGGAAGAGGGGCAACCGGGACAGAACCCGGCACCCUGACCGGGACUAGAACCCGGUGUGCCGGCACCACAGGCAGAGGAUUAAUCUAUUGAGCCAUGGUGCCGGCCUGAUGAUUCUUCUUAACACCUGGGCUUUCUUCAUCUGCGGAGGCUGAUCAAUAGGAUGGGUGUGAGCGUGCCUUCUACCUUAGAAAGCCAGGCAUGAGCCAAGGGACCCAUGGAGAAUAGGCAGGGGACAGACCCCUUGGCUUGGUUCUGGUCCAGGCAUUGCACCCCAGGGAGAGUAAGAGCCCUUGGAAUUCCCAUAAAAUCAAGCCCUGACUCUAGGUUGAGAAAGGAGAUGAGAGUGGGAGGAGAGAGGGCAGGGGGAAGGAGGAGCGUGCACUUGCGGCGAGUCUUCUCUGGAAUGCUCAUGUGUCUGUUGGAAGGUUAGCACAGGGGGAGGUAGAGGAUCCGGGGUCUGCAAGUUCAGUGUCACAGCUGGCGUCGCCUUCCUCAUCUGAGCAGGCCAGGAGAGCUGUGCUUCCUGACAAGAGAGAAUAACAGACCAAGUGGCGUGGUCUCCUUUCCCACAUCUGCCUCCAACCAGCUGAGAAACCUCAGCAAAACAUUUUUCCCCUAAGCCUCAAUUUCCCUGUUAGCAAAGUCAGGAUGCCAGGGACACUGCUGUCGGGAAAUAAGGCGCGCACAUCAGCACUCACACCUCUCGCCUCCUUCACUUCUCAUCCGGCCCGGCUCUGCUUUGGCUUCUGUGUCUGCCUCUCUGGGCUCCCCCAGGAACUUAUUCACCUCCAUUGACAUGGCCAGAAAAUGAGGCCCCUGGAGCCAACUGCAGGGUGCAGUAGCUCUGGUAACUUCCCCAUCCAUCUUGGCGGGGUUGAAAGAUGCUUAAGUUUCAAACCAGGAAUUUGACAGACAGGGAGAUGUAAUAGAUAAUAGCUAAAUGAGCUCAAUCGAUCAGGCGCCUCCAGUGUGAGUCACCCUACCUGCAGCGCCACAUCCUUUUUACUUACUUAUUUAUUUUUGAAAGAGCCACGGAGAAAGAUAGAGGGAGAGAGAGAGAGAGAUCUUCUGUCUGCUGGUUCACUCUCCAGCUGGCUGCAACGGCCAAGGUUGGGCCAGGCCAGAGCCAGGAGCCAGGAGUCAGGAGUUUCUUCCAGGUCUCCCACAUGAGUGCAGGGACCAAGGACUUGGACCAUGCUCCGUUGCUUUUCCCAGGCCGUGAGCAGAGAGCUGGAUUGGAAGUGGAGCAGUCAGGGCACCAACCGGUGACCAUACUGGGUUCCAGUGUUGCAGGUGGUGACUUUCCCCGCUACACCACAAUGCCAGCCUUGUCACAUCCUUUAUUUUUUUUUCAAUCCUCAUAGUAAGUGGAAAUUAAUCUAUAUUUUGAGUGUUAAGGAAAAUUAGUUACUUAUGUCAAGAUCCAGUAAAUGACUGACCAAAGAUUUUGAACACAGCGAGGAAGAGCCAACGGGAUUAUAAGCAGAGAAGACGAAUGAGAAAUUUCCAGUUCCUUCUAAAUGUUUUCUAACUUCAGACACAGAGAUUUAACAUUGUAACAUCACUGCAGGGUGAUUUAUUCUAUAUUUUACAGCUUGCGCUGUGAUUUGGUGUUAUUGUUAUUCCUUCCUGUGUGAGAGAAUAUGACUUACAAAAUCCCGCGCAGUUAUUGAGACUUAUUUCAUUCCCACUUUCCAUCUCAUGCUUACAGAAUUUAGGAAAUUCGAUUGACAGUUUUCCCAAAUCAUUUUUUAAUAGAAAUGUAAGGAUAUGUAUUUUGUGUUUGAAAAGACUAAAUUGUGGUCCAAAAUAAACUUUUUCAACAAAAAGGCACAGAAACAUAAGGCCAGCUAUAGUUGUGAUGUCCACAUUAGAGUUGUUGAAGGAACGACAAAGUGUGCGCCGCAGCAGUUGGAGACACAAGGGAACACAUUGGCACUCCAGGUAGUAGCACUCACACAGGUGCAGCACGGUGCUGCGUGCUUCCCUUGUUUCUGAUGUGCAACGAAAGAAAAAUCCACUGUAGCUCAUGCCAGCCGAGUGUGCCUUGGAUAGAGCAAGACGAUUCUUCAGUUCCUACACGGUUGGUUA
Oryctolagus cuniculus (rabbit) is the source of this 4166-nucleotide non-coding RNA. The record is from RefSeq and is a predicted model, not a curated record. NCBI's taxonomy places the organism in Eukaryota, Metazoa, Chordata, Mammalia, Lagomorpha, Leporidae.